RNAcentral lists this long non-coding RNA (615 nucleotides) under Androctonus crassicauda. The record is from RNAcentral. Lineage: Eukaryota; Metazoa; Arthropoda; Arachnida; Scorpiones; Buthidae.
AGAGAGUCAAGUAAUACGAAGAUACACUCCAGCUUUGAAAAAAUACAUAAGAUAUGUAGACGAUGUAAUAACAGUUUGGACAAACCGGAAUAGCAUAGAAGAGUUCCAGCAGGACCUAUCGCGUGAAGAUUACGGACUAAAGAUCAAAAACGAAUAAUGCAGCAGCGAAGAAAUACAUUUUCUAGAUUUGAGCAUAAAAAAAGAGGGAACAGCGAUAACAACAAUAUAUAGGAAGCAGACUUAUCAGCCCGAGCUGGUUACCUGACCCGAUAGCACAAAAAGCUGCUGCAUUCAGAUAUUACUUUAAGAGAGCAUAUGAAUACAUGGUAAGAAGCCAAGACUUGCAUGAAGAGCUCAACAACAUCUACAGAACGGGACAUGAGCAUGGGUACUCCAAGAAGUUCCUUAAUACCAUACACAACAAGAUCAAAGCAGCCCAGAGUGAAAGGAGGAUUAAUACUAGCAGGAUAAGCAAAGAUAAUGAUGAUUUUCUUAGUGUCCCAUAUCAAACUAGUAAGCAGAAGUGAUAAAGGAAGUAGCAAGAAAAACAGAAAAAACAAUCACCACCAAAAGACAACCAACAUUAUUCAACGUUCUUAGGAAUGAGAAAGACCC